Molecule: long non-coding RNA, 3134 nt
Organism: Humulus lupulus (European hop)
Lineage: Eukaryota; Viridiplantae; Streptophyta; Magnoliopsida; Rosales; Cannabaceae
Exons: 13
Source: RefSeq, a predicted model, not a curated record
CCCGCCACUUAGAAUUUUUUUUUCAUUUCUGAGACCUGAGAAUCCUUAGACACCCAUCUCCUUUCUCUUCCCCAUUUUUGAGACCCAAGACACUUAUUUCUGAUCUUUCCUUCAACAUUUCUGCCCAUGUAAAUGGCUGGGUAAUUUUGGGUAGCCCGCUUAAAUGUAAAACCCUUAUUUUUUUUAGCAAAUGUAAAAGGCAAAGUCAUUAUUUCCUUUUGAUUCCUCUAUGCUCUGCCGCAAGAGCUGGUCCGAAAUGGAGGUUGGAGAAAACACAUUGUACCAGCAACUUCAUAAGCUAUAAGGGGUGAAGUCCGAAGAAGCUCUUGACCAAUUGAUUUCUGCUCUAUGGCAAACCAAGAAGACUGGUCUCCGUGGUCACCAUGACAAGUCCCAUUUCCAGACCCUCCUCAAUCUCCCUUCUCGCUCCGACCUCGACCCAAUAUGGAACGCUUCUCUUUUCUUCUUAAAUAGAGUUUUUUUCUUGGUGGGUUUUUGUUGCUUAGUGUUCUUGUGAAGAAAGUUUUGAUUUUUGUGGUGCUUGAACAGGUUUUAGCAUGCCUUCGUUCGAUGAUUAGAAAAUGCGCCUAUGGAAACUUCAGUGGCGAUGAUCUUCUUAAGCUUGUUCCACCUGAUUGGCCUGUUGAUCUUCAGCAAAUGCUUUUGCUUUUGUUCCAGAAGUAUCAGAGUCAGUGGAAAGAGGAUGUUUCAAAGGAACAGACAAUGCUCUGUUGAUUCUCCAUGAUAAGCGUCUUAUUCCUCUCCUCAGGACAGCAAAGGAAAUUUUUGAGUUGGCUCUAGAGGCAGACAACUCAAACACCCAUGCCAGAUAUUGGUUGUCCAGAUUGCAUAUGAAAUAUCAUGUUCUUGGAGCAUGUAAAGCAGUGUACACCUGAUGGAGAAGGAAGAUGCGAAGAGGUCCGAGAGGGAGAGGAAGGAGUUCGAGGAGAGGGAGAAGGCCUGGCUUGAGGCCAUGGAGAUGAAAAGGAAGAAGAUGGAAGAAGAAGAAGAAUAUGAGGAACAACGAAAGAAGGCACUGGACGAAGAGUCUCGAAAAUAGCAGUUGCAGCCUAUAAAUACCACUUGACUCUCCCUACUGGAGCCUGAGUAGUGAUUUGAAGAAUCUGGGAUCUCCUCUCUCUCUUUCAGAGAUUUCUCAACACCAUGAGAGCAGUCCAAGGUGCUUUGAUAGUAGCAUCAAGCAUACAUAUUAUCCUUGGAUACAGUCAAAUUUGGGUCAUCUGUUCCUGGUUAGAUUUAUCUAUCUUGGAAUUAGAGGUAGUUGAUAUCGAGAUCGACCCACUACUCCGCCUCUAGUCCUCCGUCGUUACUAGCUUCGUUGCUCUGCCGAAAUCCUAAACAAAGCGUACGAUUAAGAUGUCAAAGUUCUGUCUCAAUGGGGAAUUCUUUUCUUGGUAAGCCUUUUAACCUGCAUUAUUUUACUAUGAAAUUUUGUUUCAUGUAAAAGAAUUGUUACUAGAAUUUUCUCUUCCUCUUCCUAUCCUUUAAGAAUCAUCUUGUCAAUGCCCUUAAUAUUCUCACAAAUCCUUAACUCAUUCAAAAGGUGUGUACUAUGAAAUUACUCCUUCAAUUUCAGAGUUGGUCUCAUUUUGAUUUUGAACAAUGCCGGAAUUCAAUAUUAUAAAUAUGAAGAUAGAUUAUUUAAAUGAAUUGUGGUGUUAGAAGAUAAUGCUAAGGAAUACUGUUUCUAGAAACAACUCUUGCAUAUUUUAUUUUCUUUCCUUCAUUAUAUAUUUGAUGCAACCCACAUUGUAAAAUGAUUAUUUUGUUUGUACUUUCUCAGUUCAAUUAUAUCAAAAUUUUCAAAGGUCAUAUGGAGACUAGUUAAGAGAAAUGGGAUGAAGUAUAAAAGUUAAGGGUCGAUGCUUGUAAUUAACAAAGAAUUAUAUCCUAGGAUCAUUUGUUUAGCAUAGUUUGACUAGAGACCAUGUUAACUAUUUAUUGCAAUAUAUUCUGUAAAUCACACCUUAUUUACUUUGAACUCAAUCUAUUUAUUUAUUUUUUUCGUUUAAGCUAUUUGAAAUGGGUUUGGAGCUUUCAUUUUCACGUCUAAAAUCUCUUGCAAAUUUUGCCUUUGGUUUGGGAUUGACUCAGGUAUAAUGCUGAAACCUGAAAACAACAGUAUAAUAGCUUGUGAUUCUUGCUAUUCAAAUGGUUCUUUAGAGGGAAUACAAAUUGGAUGGUUCCUAUUCCAAGGGGGAAAACAAUGAUUCAUUUGUUUUUAAGUGUUAAGUGCAGUACCAAUCUUUCAAAAUCCUGAUAUUUCUAUGCAAUUUAUGGUAUUGAACUUGGUUUGGUCACAUUUUUAGUCUUACUGGACCAUUUUCUCUAGUUAAGACAUGAUAUGGACUAGUCCUUUAUGAAUGCUGAAUGGACAUUUGACCAUAUGGUCCCCAUUCUUGUUUCAUUCUUGAAGGUCAUCUUCUCUACACUUGCUUUCAUGGCGUUUGAACUUCCUCCUAACAAUGCUAUUGGAACAAGAAUUAUGGAGUUCCUUUUCCACUCAAGGUCUGAUUUGGUCAAUAUAAGAAGUGUUGAUGAGGUUAUUGUGAUUGGUACUGGUCUUUCUCUUCUUCAUCAGCUUUUGUUCUGCAGCUUGGUGGAGGUUAUCUAUUUGGGUUGCCUUUGGGGUUCGUUGCUGAUUCUAUUGGUGCUACAACUGCAUUUAUUCUUGGUAGAACAGUCAGUACGUCAGAGCUGUCUUUCUACAUUUAUCCUUCAUACUUCCUAGAAAUUUCAUGAUCUUCCUAUGCAUGCAGAGGGAAGAAGCAGUAUGAACCACCUAGGUACAUGACAAUAAAUACUGCCAUUGAGUAGCUCCUGGAAGUUGUGCAAGCAAAAGUAGAAUCUGUUUGCAAUGAAGACACAGAGUGUGUUGGUUUUGCUAGAAUUGGAAGUGAAGAUCAGAUCAUUGUGGCUGGUACAAUGAAGCAACUUCAAUUGCAUGUUUUUUUCCUAUCAAAUAGUACUGUAGGAGUGUGCAACUACUCAAAUUUUGACGUGUUAUUAUGUAAAAAAUUAAACUCUUCAAUAUUUUGUGCUGAAAGUAGUAACUUUUCAAUAUGUUGAAUAUUUAAGACUACUUGAAUACUUAAAGAACAAUUUGUUGUUGA